This 321-nucleotide ribosomal RNA is filed under the name Sandona sp. RNAcentral describes it as "SSU rRNA". The stretch from base 61 to 321 matches the Rfam family "Eukaryotic small subunit ribosomal RNA", at positions 693 to 955 of the family's 1831-position model. Lineage: Eukaryota; Cercozoa; Glissomonadida; Sandonidae. The record is from RNAcentral.
GAUUUCUGGGCAUCAGUUUCUGGCCGGCCACGGUUUCGUGUGUUAGUGCUUGAAGCUUUGUCCAUCCUUCCAAUCGCCAGCUACUAUUCUUCAUUGAUUGGUAGUUGGUAUUGGAUCUUUUACUUUGAAAAAAUUAGAGUGUUUAAAGCAGGCUUUUGCUAUGAAUACAUUAGCAUGGAAUAAUAAUCUAGGACUUCGGUUCUAUUUUGUUGGUUUCUAUAACUGAAGUAAUGAUUGAUAGGGAUAGUUGGGGGUGCUAGUAUUGGCCGGCCAGAGGUGAAAUUCUUGGAUUCGGUCAAGACUAACUUAUGCGAAAGCAUU